RNAcentral lists this ribosomal RNA (435 nucleotides) under uncultured bacterium. RNAcentral's name for it is "partial 16S ribosomal RNA". It matches the Rfam family "Bacterial small subunit ribosomal RNA", at positions 29 to 507 of the family's 1533-position model. The record is from RNAcentral.
AGCGAACGCUGGCGGCAGGCUUAACACAUGCAAGUCGAGCGGGCACUUUCGGGUGUCAGCGGCGGACGGGUGAGUAACGCGUGGGAACGUGCCCUCUGGUUCGGAAUAACUCAGGGAAACUUGAGCUAAUACCGGAUACGCCCUUUUGGGGAAAGGCUUGCUGCCGGAGGAUCGGCCCGCGUCUGAUUAGCUAGUUGGUGAGGUAACGGCUCACCAAGGCGACGAUCAGUAGCUGGUCUGAGAGGAUGAUCAGCCACACUGGGACUGAGACACGGCCCAGACUCCUACGGGAGGCAGCAGUGGGGAAUAUUGGACAAUGUGCGCAAGCCUGAUCCAGCCAUGCCGCGUGAGUGAUCAAGGCCUUAGGGUUGUAAAGCUCUUUUAUCCGGGACGAUAAUGACGGUACCGGAGGAAUAAGCCCCGGCUAACUUCGUG